GACAGAGGGUGCAAACGUUGUUCGGAAUUACUGGGCGUAAAGCGCGUGUAGGCUGCUUCGCAAGUCGGAUGUGAAAGCCCUGGGCUCAACCCAGGAAGUGCAUUCGAAACUGCAGAGCUGGAGUCCUGGAGAGGAAGGCGGAAUUCUUGGUGUAGCGGUGAAAUGCGUAGAUAUCGGGAGGAACACCAAUGGCGAAGGCAGCUCGCUGGGACGUUACUGACGCUGAGACGCGAAAGCGUGGGGAGCAAACAGG
RNAcentral lists this ribosomal RNA (253 nucleotides) under uncultured bacterium. Its description in RNAcentral is "partial 16S ribosomal RNA". It matches the Rfam family "Bacterial small subunit ribosomal RNA", at positions 524 to 776 of the family's 1533-position model. The record is from RNAcentral.